Molecule: ribosomal RNA, 320 nt
Filed under: uncultured soil bacterium
Lineage: Bacteria
Description: bacterial SSU rRNA
Rfam family: Bacterial small subunit ribosomal RNA
Source: RNAcentral
AGGACGAACGCCGGCGGCGUGCUUAACACAUGCAAGUCGAGCGGUAAGGCCUUUCGGGGUACACGAGCGGCGAACGGGUGAGUAACACGUGGGUGAUCUGCCCUGCACUCUGGGAUAAGCCUGGGAAACUGGGUCUAAUACCGGAUAUGACCUGCUCUCGCAUGGGGGUGGGUGGAAAGAUUUAUCGGUGCAGGAUGGGCCCGCGGCCUAUCAGCUUGUUGGUGGGGUAAUGGCCUACCAAGGCUUUGACGGGUAGCCGGCCUGAGACGGGUGACCGGCCACACUGGGACUGAGACACGGCCCAGACUCCUACGGGAGCA